Molecule: ribosomal RNA, 459 nt
Filed under: uncultured bacterium
Lineage: Bacteria
Description: partial 16S ribosomal RNA
Rfam family: Bacterial small subunit ribosomal RNA
Source: RNAcentral
CCUACGGGAGGCAGCAGUGAGGAAUAUUGGUCAAUGGUCGGGAGACUGAACCAGCCAAGCCGCGUGAGGGAGGAAGGUACAGAGUAUCGUAAACCUCUUUUUUCAGGGAACAAAGGCGGGGACGUGUCCCCGGCUGAGUGUACCUGAAGAAAAAGCAUCGGCUAACUCCGUGCCAGCAGCCGCGGUAAUACGGAGGAUGCGAGCGUUAUCCGGAUUUAUUGGGGUUAAGGGGGGCGCGGGCGGGCUGUUAAGCCGGCGGUCAAACCGCGGGGCUCAACCCCGGCCCGCCGUUGAAACUGGCAGUCUCGAGUUGGAGAGAAGUAUGCGGAAUGCGCGGUGUAGCGGUGAAAUGCAUAGAUAUCACGCAGAACUCCGAUUGCGAAGGCAGCAUACCGGCGCUCAACUGACGCUGAUGCACGAAAGUGUGGGUAUCGAACAGGAUUAGAUACCCCAGUAGUC